GAUGAACGUUGGCGGCGUGCCUAACACAUGCAAGUCGAACGAGCAGCCGGAUUCUUCGGAAACCGGUGGGCUAGUGGCGCACGGGUGAGUAACACGUGGAUAAUCUGCCCCGAAGCGGGGGAUAACUGCUGGAAACGGCAGCUAAUACCGCAUGUGCUUGCUGGAUCGGAUGGUCUGGUAAGUAAAGCUUUGGCGUUUCGGGAGGAGUUCGCGGCCGAUUAGCUAGUUGGCGAGGUAAUGGCUCACCAAGGCGAUGAUCGGUAGGGGGCGUGAGAGCGUGACCCCCCACACUGGAACUGAGACACGGUCCAGACUCCUACGGGAGGCAGCAGUGAGGAAUAUUGCACAAUGGGCGAAAGCCUGAUGCAGCAACGCCGCGUGGGGGAUGAAGGCCUUCGGGUUGUAAACCCCUUUUCUGCGUGAAGAGAAAGGACGGUAGCGCAGGAAUAAGUCUCGGCUAACUACGUGCCAGCAGCCGCGGUAAAACGUAGGAGGCGAACGUUAUCCGGAUUUACUGGGCGUAAAGCGCUCGCAGGCGGCUUCGUAAGUCUGACGUGAAAGCCCCCGGCUUAACUGGGGGAGGUCGUUGGAUACUGCGGAGCUUGAGGACAGGAGAGGAAAGUGGAAUUCCCGGUGUAGCGGUGGAAUGCGUAGAUAUCGGGAGGAACUCCAGUGGCGAAGGCGACUUUCUGGCCUGUUCCUGACGCUCAGGAGCGAAAGCGUGGGUAGCGAACAGGAUUAGAUACCCUGGUAGUCCACGCUGUAAACGAUGUGAACUAGGUGUUGGCGCUGUUAUGGCGUCAGUGCCGGAGCUAACGCGUUAAGUUCACCGCCUGGGGACUACGGCCGCAAGGCUAAAACUCAAAGGAAUUGACGG
This 877-nucleotide ribosomal RNA is filed under the name uncultured Chloroflexota bacterium. RNAcentral's name for it is "bacterial SSU rRNA". It matches the Rfam family "Bacterial small subunit ribosomal RNA", at positions 28 to 916 of the family's 1533-position model. The record is from RNAcentral. Lineage: Bacteria; Bacillati; Chloroflexota.